RNAcentral lists this long non-coding RNA (8254 nucleotides) under Sus scrofa (pig). Its description in RNAcentral is "lncRNA (ENSSSCG00005004157.1)". The record is from RNAcentral. Lineage: Eukaryota; Metazoa; Chordata; Mammalia; Artiodactyla; Suidae.
UAAAACUAUUCUUAGAACUCCAUAUAUCAACUAAGUUAAUAUAUAUGAAACCAAGCGUUAAAAUUAACUCAUAUAUGUAAUACUUAGUUUUACAUAUAUUAGCUUACUGAAUAUACAGAACUUAAUACAUGGAGUUAUUAACUAAUUAGGUUAAUAACUGGUACCCAGAAAGUUUUAGGUGUUAUGGUCAGUUGAUGACACAAAGGGUGUUGUCACCGGAGAAUGAAUGGGUUCAGUGUGACAGGUAUAUUACACAAUAAUAUACUUUCCCGCUCAGUUUUUACAGCAGACUUGGAAGGAAGAGAGCUAGAAAUUCUAUCGCCACUUCACAGAUGAGGACAAUGAACUUGGAGGGGCUUUCCUAGGGAUCCACCACCGACACAGAGCCCAGGGGUACUGGAGCCUGGGAUGGAGGCCCCUGGCUGGGCAACGUCACCCUUGGCUGCUCUGGUGGCUCCGGGGCGCGACAAGGUCUGGGUGCGUUAGCUCUGGCUGGGCCUUCUCUGGGAGGGGGGCAGCUGCGGAGCGGGUGGAAUCCAGGGGCUUUAGAGGUCACUUUCCCUGAAAGUCUCUGAGUCACCUUUGGGAUUUUCCAGGCUAUAAGCUUUUGGAGGGUUAAAAAAAAAAAAAAAAUGUCCAAUGUGUCGCAAGUUCUGAAACCAGCUGCAAGGACAAGUUCUGUUGGCAGAGGCACCCAUCUGAGGAAUGCAGGAUGGAGUGGGAGAACCCCGGACACUGAGACCAGAAGAGAAAUGAGGCUUUUAUGUUCCAGGGAAUAGCGACAGUAACAAGUCACCUAAGGUUCAGAAGCGCAUUUGUCCAGUGCAUCUGGGCAGCAAACCGUUCUCUAAUAAUCCUCAGCAUGCUGCCUUUUGAUCGGCUGUGUCUGUGUCUUUUGUCCUUGUCAUUAGACAUUCUCACUCAGCUCCCAGACCCUAAACCCCAGCUCUGGACCUGAGACACCAUGGGUGCCCCUGAGGUGGCUGUGGAUUGACGGGCUACAUAUGGGAACGGAGCAAGUCUUCUUGGUCCUCACCUGACUCCAUUUUACAGAUAAGGAAACUGAGGUUCAGAGGGGUUAAAUGCUUUGACCAAAGUGAAAGGUAAUGAAGGGAAGACUGGAAAGUUGAAGCUGUUCCUCCAGGAAGUGUAAUGGAGAACAGCCAGAGCAUUCAGGUCGUACAGACGUGGCUUCAUCGUCCCAUUCUGCCCCCUCCCUGCUGUGUGAUUUUGUAUAGGUUGCUCAACCUCUCUGAGCCUCAGGCUGCUGUAUUGGUAAAACAGGUGCAAUAAUAGUACAUACCUUCUCACGUUGUUGUGAGGAUUCAUACAAUGUGUGCAAAGGGACCAGCACUGUUGGCGCCGCAGAGUGUUAACUACUGCUAUUGUUUCUAUUGUUCUUAUUCUCCUUUCAUUACUAUUAUUUCUUAGUAUUUUGUAAAAAAAAAUACUACCGUAUUAGUUACUUUUAUCAUUGACUAUAUGCCUGGUAUACAACUGAACUGCAAUGAAUUAGUUUCUUUCUUUCCUGGGGAUUAGCCUAUAGUAUGAUAGGCUAUAGCUGUUACAACUGGUGACCCCAGGACUGAAUGUUUGCAGGGGGUUCAUGAAGCCCGACUCUGGCAUAUGUCCAGGGCUUGAAUAAAAGAGAAGAGAUUGGGGGUGAGGUGCUGGGAGUACAUUUGCUCUCAGCGGGUGGGCAGAAAAAAAUCCCCCACUUCUGAGCAAGUGCAGAACCACUUCAUGCAAACCCACUCACCCACACUUUCCCUGCCUGGCUUUUGCAUGAGGUGGCUUCAAGAGCUCUCACAGGGGCUUUCCAAGGAUUUCUCGAAGCUUCUUGCUUCUCCCAACACUCCUGCACCCCAGACCCUCUCUCAGCCACUCCCUACUGCCUGACAUAAAGCCUUUUGCUCAAGGCAGUUCCUGUUGUGGCUCAGCAGCUUAGGAACCCAACUAGUAUCCAUGAGGUUGCGGGUUCGAUCCCUGGCUUCGCUCAGUGGGUUAAGGAUCUGGUGUUGUCAUGAGCUGUGGUGGAGGUCACGAAUGUGGCUCAGAUCCCGUGUUUCUGUGGCUGUGGUGUAGGCCGGCAGCUGCAGUUCUGAUUCGACCCCUAGCCUGGGACCUUCCAUAUGCCAUGGAUGUGGCCCUGAAAAAAAAGACCAUCUCCUUAUAAUCUCAAAUGGAACCAGGAUGUCCCUCCAAAGUGGAGAAACCGUUCUGAGGGCCUCUGUUGUCUCAUGUUUAUAAACCUGGGAGGCCUUCUCAUGCAAGAUGGGUGGGAAACUGAGGUUGAGAGGGGCGAGUGGUUUGUCCCAGAUGGGGUAGGGGCAGCAUGGGGAGAAACCUAGGCUCUGGGGCUCCUGGUCAUGGUGGGGUGUGAGGGUGUGGGAGGCGAGCCUGGGCUGUGGCCUGGUUCUGCUUCUUCCUACUUGUGCAGACUUGGCAGACAUUCUUCAGCCCGGAACCUCUAUUUUCUUACCUGUGAAAUGGGCAUAACUGUGCCUUCCUCACAGGAGCAGUAGAAGGAAUAGAGAAGAUCCUGAAAAGCAAGUUCCCAGGCACAGUGCUUGGCAUAAAAUCAGUGCCCUUUCCCUCCCGCCUCCCCCUUCCUUCUGAAAAUGAACAAAGGCUUUGGAAUCACACAGACUGGGGUUCACCUCCUGUGUGGACUUGGGCAAAGUAUUCACCUUGGUGGGGGGUCUUGAUUUUUUCUUCUUUAUAAGAUGGUAACAGGAAUGGCCAUAUUGAGGGGUCUUUGAGGAGACUGUGGGGAGAGGAGAGAUGUCGCACAGGAGGCCCUUCUAGACAAAGCUGCACUUUUUUCCUGCCUCCUCUCUCUGGGACCUGCUCCACAGAUUCGGGCCUGGCCCCAAGCUGCAGGGGCAGGAGAGAGGGACGUCUGUGCUUCCUUCUUGUUGGGCUCAGAGCGUGCAGCUCCGGGCUGGGCAGGCAUGGGUUCAGCCAGCAGGGCUGAUGGCUCUGGGUACAGCAAUGGUCCCUCCCUCCCAGCCCUUGGGCCACUUCAGGACAUGGAUCCUUGGGCAGGGGCUGGGGUUGGGGGUGGGGGUGUGUGGGGGAGUCAAACCCAAAGAGGGUCACAGCAGCAGCUUCCAAAGGGGGUGCUGGAGACCAGGACACGUAAAUAACCCCAAGGAGACAGGCCUUGGCAUCCCUUCCUGGUCAGGAGUAAACAUGACGUUAUUCAGAGAGACACUGAGGUUUUAAACCACUUCAUAUUUAAUCAGCCAUCCCUCCCCCUUCCAACAGCUCCCUUCCAGGAAAAACAUCGCUUGAGCUUUUGACACGAAACAAAGCUUUCUGAAAACUUGCGCACACAGCCCAGGCCUCGAGGGACAGACUUGUGGCCAGGUUUUGAGCCAGAGGUGGCGCCAAUCUAGGACACUGGGGCCCAAGCAACACACAUCUGUCUGGUGUUCCUGUUGUCCUGAGGGGCCGAGGUGGAAGGUUCAGGAGCAGAGGGGUGGACCUGGACCGUGGAGAAGACUGGCCUGUGUUCUAAUCCCACGUCUUCCUUCUAGGACUGUGUGUCCUUCAGCAAGAGGCGUAACCCUUGGGAGCCUCGUAAAUGUUCUUAAAUGUACAUGAGGAAUACGUGUGCCGCCGUGGAAGGUUGUGCUGACAUUCCCAUCAAAUACACCGAUGGAUAAGGCUGAGUUGUGUGAAACUGCCCCUUUUGAAGCUCAAAAAGGGUUGACUAUGAGCAAUUUCCUCAUAAAGUGCCUGGCCCAUUUGAGUCCUCUCCAAACGGGGUUACAUAUGUACACAGUGAGUCUCAAGCCUUAGUAAGAAGUGGGGAGGGGGCAUAAGGUGUGUGUGCAAAAUGCCUGAUUCAGAAGAGCUGUGUGGGCUCUAGGACUCUGCCCUUCACAGGUAGUUCAUCCCCACGCCAGGUGAUGUGGGUGAGGUGAUGCUCAGCCGAGCGGAGCUUUGAAUAAAGAAAACCAGGAGAUGGGGCAGAGAACAGGACAGAAAACAGCAGGUCCUUUUUCCAACCCCUUGUCUUCUUUUCUUUGCUGUUGUUGGGUAACAGGAUUCCCUUAGGUGUCUCUCUCUCCGUGUGUGUGUGUGUGUGUGUGCGCGCGCGUGUGUGUGUGUAAAAGAGAGAGAGAGAGAGAGAGAGGUUGAGAAUCACUCUGAUUACAUUAAAACCCUAACCCUAACAUUUGGAGCCUGUCUCUUCCCCCACCCCCUUAUUUUUGGCCACACCCACAGCAUACGGAUGUUCUGGAGCCAGGGUUGCACCUGCACCAUGGCAGCAACCUGAGCCACAGCAGUGACAAUGCUGGAUUCUUCACCUGCUGAGCCACCAGGGAACUCCCCUUCUCCCCUUUGAAUUGCCAAUAUCCUAAAUCUUUGCACCACUUUAAGGUGGGUGCUUGGUCUGCACGAGUUUUACCCUUCGUAGCUGCCUCUAAUAUUCUAAUAUUCCGGACACCAUUUAAGCUGUUUUCAAAAUGUCCUUAAAGGCGGGAGCAAGAGGAGUGAGCCAGUGGGGAAAUGUCUGCAUACGACUUGGAAGGGUGUCAGGAGCUCUGGAUCCUGCCGCCUUGGGUGUCAGGUGGGGAAGACAGCUCCGCCCAAGGUCAUGAGAUGUGAGCUGGGGCAGAGGUGGAACGUGAGCUCAAGUGCUCAGGGGCUAAACAUGCUAAUCUUUACCUUAGUCUCCUUAUUGCUGUUGUGACUUAACAAACCCAGGUCAGCAGCCGCUGAGGUGCCUUAGCGUGAACCUACAUGACUUAUGCUAAGUGCUCCUUCUGGAUAAAAUUCCACCGCACACACGCACACACGCCGCUGCCAGGGAAAGCGGCCCUAUUCAUGAUCUGUUCUUUCACACUCCACAGAGAUCAGCCGCCCUGAGGGUGUGGCAACGAUGGACACAUGGUCCACCCUCGUGAAAUCCACAGCCUUGGAGUUCCCCGUGUGAACAAUCCUAAGAGCUAUAAGGUAAAUGUGGUGGCACUUUGAGAACGUGUGAAAGGGAGGCCAGCUCUUGUCAAGGCUGGGGAGCUUGCCUGCUCCUUCCUUUCUGUUGGGAACCUGGUCAUGAGUCCAGGCUCCAAAGAUACGUGCAGAUGUGUGGGAAUCCAUGCUGGUGCCACACACCAUGCUGGUCUUGAUCGCUGUCGCUACAGAUCUAGAAGAAAGGAUGAUGAGGCCAGGAGGAGCACUGGUGCUUAAGCCAAGGUCAAGUUGUCCUCACGCGUUGCUGGGGAGGCACGUCUCCAUUUCACCCACCAGGAAGGGAGCUCUGAGACUCUGCCUGUGUUACAUGAUCUUUGUUUUUGUUGUCGUUCUUGGUUUUGCUUUUUAGGGUUGCACCCGCAACGUAUGGAGGUUUCCAGGCGAGGUGUCUAAUCAGAGCUGCAGCUGCCAGCCUAUGCCACAGCCACAGCAACGUGGGAUCCAAGCCACGUCUUGCAGCCUAUACCACAGCUCAUGGCAAGGCCAGAUCCUUAAUCCAUAGAGCAAGGCCAGGGUUCAAACCUGCAUCCUCAUGGAUACUAGUUGGGGUUUUAACCUGCUGAGACGUAAUGGGAACUCCCUGUAUUGCUUGGUCUUGAGCUCUGUGUUCAUUUCUGCACAGCAGAGACAGUAAGAAUCUUUACCUCACAGGGGCCGUGAGAAUGAAACGGGAUAACAUGUGCAGGUGGCCGGCUGCAGGUCUCAUCGGCAGGGCCUGACGAAUACUUUCGUGUUUCCUCCAGGACAUGCGCUCCACACAACUUAGGCACCAUGUGGCAUGGGCUGGGCUUCAGCCAGGUGUGUGUGACUCCCAGUCUGGACACCCGUCAUCCCCACUAUACCAUGAGCUCUCCUCAGGAUCCCUGGUGGGAAGGUCUAGGAGACCUUAACUUUAUGCCUUGAAUUUGAACUUCAUUUGGGAGAUGCUGGGGAUCCACUCAGGCUCUUUGAGCUGGGGGGCAUGUGACAAAGCUGCUUUUAGGUGAUGAAUGAUGGGGAUAAAUAAGGUGCUUGAAGAGGGGCUGAGACCUAGAGGUCAAGAGAUUCUUUUACGUUGGCUGCUCUGUGAAUUCCACUCUAGGCGAAUGCUCCACUCCUGAACCGAGGCAGAGACGGCUGGGAAGGACAGAUAGGACAGUGGUCAUCUUCCCACCAAAGCGUUUCAUGGUUGUGUAAUUUAGUCCCGGUUCUAGCUGAAUUUAUGGGAUGCAUCGGCUGCCCCCACAGCAUCUGCCUCCGUGUCGCAUGCUGCCAUGCCGGCUGGUGAUGACCCCCUCUCACCCUUUGAAGAAGGCAGUGGCUUCAGAUGCCCAAUUUAAAUGGCUACCACCCAACAUUAAAGUGGUAGUCACGCUGCCAGUCAUCCAUCAGGAGUAAUGUUGUAUUUGCUCUUCAUGGUGGGAACUUUCCAGCUAUUACCUCUCAUUCUCUCAGCAACCCUGAAAACUGGGUAUUAUCAUUUGUGCUUUAUAGAAAAGGAAGCUGAAGCCCCAAGGUUCCUUUAAACAACAUGCCGAGGAAACACAGUUUACUAAGUGAAAGAUGUAGACAAGGAACCUAGCCUGCUCAGAGGGUGAAACCUGUUGCUUUCUUCUAAAUCUCUUUUUGUAGAUGAUCUGUUUUUCCAGAUGAGGAAACUGAGGCUGAAAAGAGCUGGGUGAAUUGCCCACAAUCAUGCAGCUAGUACAAUAGCUAAAGAACAGCUAAUUACAGAAUGUUUACUCUGGCCCAGGCAGUGGGCCAUUAAAUGAGACAGUGACUAUCUCAUUUAAUCCACAUAACAGCUGGUCUUAUGUCACAAACAAAUGCCAGAACUGGCAUUUGUGAUCAGGUCUACUCGCCUUUGGAGUUUUCAACUACCGGAUUCUGCUGUAAGGAGACUGCUAGGGGUUGAUAUAAAUCCCAAGACUUCAAAGGAGGAAAGGUCAUGGUGGCUAAGAAGAUACCUAAUCAGAAUAUCUGGGGGUGAAGCUGCUGCAAGCCACCUCUGUCUCUGAAUGCAGUUCCUGUUUGUUCCUAAGUGAUGGAUGGAAGUCUGAGCACUGAGGAUCAGGAGGGUCCAGCUUUAUGUCAUGGGCAUUUGAGUGAAGGACACCAGUCACCCUCUGGUGAUCAAUGGAGGUGUAAAACCCCAAAGACAUCCAGGAUGGCUGAGAUCAGAUGGAUGAAUGCAGGCAUCCAUCUGGGAUCUUUCUUUCCAAGGAAAUUGAUGGAAGAUGUGUCAGGUUUAGCUCACAGCAUUCCAGCCGAAAGGGUCAGUUGUCCAUAACCUUACAGUGUCCUCCACCCAGAGAUGACAGGCUGGGGGAAGGGUCCUGAUGGCCUCUGACCUAGUUCUGGAGACGAGGUGCUAUCUGCUCUGUAAAUACCGCCGACAUUCCUGGGAGAUGAAAGACAGCUCCAGAGGCAGUGUCGUAAGCCCCUCCAAACUCCAGACACACGCUGGUCAUCCUGGCUGACUCCCUCUUUAAGCAACACUGGAAAAUACAGGUACACAGCUGUGAAGGGUGGUGGGGGCUGGAAGGCAGCAGUUUUAUCAGAAGCACAGUUCAUUUUCCCCAUGCAACCCCAGGAGAGUCAUUGCAUUGUUGAAUUGAAAUGAUAAUUAGAAAUUCAUGGACUUGGGAGGAAAUUUUUGGAGUGCUUGUAUACCAGCAAACUCUUUUCUCUCUCCCAGGAGCCCAGUAAUAGGGGCAUUGUUAUUAUCCCUAUUUUUAUGAAGGAGGGGACUGUAGCCCAGAAAAGGUAAGUUGUGUGUCCUUAUGCCUCAGCUGCUAAGUGAUGGAGCAAGGUCUUAUGUCCAGGGCUCCUAACUCUAGCUCACAUUUUUCUUACCCUCUGGCUGCCUCCACCAUCCCUUGGGUCGAUAGACAGUUAUCCCAACUCUGCCUGGACAUCCAACAUGGACCAUUCCAGGGUUGGAGAGCUAUCGUCUAGUGUUAAAAAUAACAGCGACCAGUUUUUGAGCCCUGCUAUGCACCAAACUGUAUUCUAAAGGUACGUUACGCCUGAUUCUCAGCUCCACUUCUUGUGGUUUAAAUUGUGGGAUCUGAGUCUCAUAGAACACGAGUGACCUGCCCAAGGACACACAACCAGCAGGUAAGUCUUAUGUCAAACUCAUGACACCACACUUUCUUCUUAUAUUGAAUGGAAGUCAUCUCGGUACAUCAAUUUAAUGGAAUGUUAUGCAGACAUUAAAUUUUUCUUAAAAAAAAGAAAAAAUGCUAACUAAAACAAGCAAGAUAUGUCAACUAUACAUCAAUAAAAC